UUUCGGGUGAAUGAUUACUCUUCAUUGGGUCGUAGUACGGGGGCUAAAGGAUCGCGCGGCGGCAGGCGGGUACGGGGUCGCGCGGCAGCUGGCCGGGACGGGGUCGUGCGGCGGCAGGCUAGGGACGGGGUCGCGUGGCAGCUGGCCGGAACCGGGUCGCGCGGCGGCUGGUCAGGGAAGGGUCGUGCGGCGGCUGGCCAGGGACGGGGUCGCGUGGUGGCGGCCGGGGGCGGGGUCGCGCGGGGGUUGGAGCCGACUCGCGGAGGUGUGGGGAGAUGAGGAGGGAAGAAGAAGUAGUUGCGUCUGCCCGGGCUAUUCAAGAGCGUGGUUGGUGGCACAGUGUUGGAGUCCAUGGAGGUAGCGUGGGGGUGGGAGUAGCACUACUCGUGCGUACCUAGGCUUCGACGUCCACGUUGGGUGCUCCGAACUCCCUGCUCGCGCUGUUGUUGUGAACACAUUCAAGUUCACCAGUCAGGUCGAGGACGUUGGUUGUGUCCAGCAACGGGGAAAACGGUGUUGUCAUCGUCGUGUUUGUAAUCACACCAGUAGGAGUUGGUCAAAGAGUGCGCCGGAGGGGCGUUCGGGACGAGUACUAGUCCUAUUGGAGCUAUCCAAUGUGUACAACGAGUGCUCCGACUAUCCAAGGUGUACAACGGGUCCUCAUAUGGGCAUACCUCGCCUCUACUGUCAGCUAGAACAACUGUUAAGAGUUAUUUUUACUACCACUUCAACCGUUUGCAGAUUUAGUCUAUCACGUAUGGGGACAUUCAAGUGAACAGUAACUCGCCAAUCAACUUCUAAUUAGUAAAAAUCUUUAUGUCGUCCAAAUACCACGAUUAUGGGU
Molecule: ribosomal RNA, 844 nt
Filed under: Triticum aestivum (bread wheat)
Lineage: Eukaryota; Viridiplantae; Streptophyta; Magnoliopsida; Poales; Poaceae
Description: partial small subunit ribosomal RNA
Source: RNAcentral